GGGGGCGUAAAGGCUUCGACGGGGAAUUUGCGUCACGGUAAGCGAGUAGCGGUGCGGAACCGCUAUAAAAUCCGCAAUUUAUAAAAAUAAACAACAAGAAUACUGUUGCUCUCGCGGCCUAAUUAAGGCUGCCGUCCCGCUCGGGAGCACCGCGGCCUGAACCGGGGCGUCGAUUAGCGGUGAACGUGAACAAGAAGGUGCCGCCCUUUUUGUCAUGACGUAGCGGCUACCGUACCCGACAGCCUGUUCUUCGGCGGUCGGUGAGGGGAAUCCAAAAGAAGAACUGCACUCGAAGAAAGCUGUGGCAAGGGUUUUUCGGACACGGGUUCAAUUCCCGUCGCCUCCACCA
Molecule: transfer-messenger RNA, 349 nt
Filed under: bovine gut metagenome
Rfam family: transfer-messenger RNA
About the family: Bacterial tmRNA, also known as 10Sa RNA or SsrA, is named for its dual tRNA and mRNA-like properties. Its role is to liberate the mRNA from a stalled ribosome. To accomplish this part of the tmRNA is used as a reading frame that ends in a translation stop signal.
Source: RNAcentral